RNAcentral lists this ribosomal RNA (489 nucleotides) under uncultured bacterium. Its description in RNAcentral is "partial 16S ribosomal RNA". It matches the Rfam family "Bacterial small subunit ribosomal RNA", at positions 30 to 506 of the family's 1533-position model. The record is from RNAcentral.
AUUGAACGCUGGCGGCAGGCCUAACACAUGCAAGUCGAACGGUAACAGGAAGACGCUUGCUUCUUUGCUGACGAGUGGCGGACGGGUGAGUCAUGUCUGGGAAACUGCCUGAUGGAGGGGGAUAACUACUGGAAACGGUAGCUAAUACCGCAUAACGUCGCAAGCCCAAAGAGGGGGACCUUCGGGCCUCUUGCCAUCGGCUGUGCCCAGAUGGGAUUAGCUAGUAGGUGGGGUAACGGCUCACCUAGGCGACGAUCCCUAGCUGGUCUGAGAGGAUGACCAGCCACACUGGAACUGAGACACGGUCCAGACUCCUACGGGAGGCAGCAGUGGGGAAUAUUGCACAAUGGGCGCAAGCCUGAUGCAGCCAUGCCGGGUGUAUGAAGAAGGCCUUCGGGUUGUAAAGUACUUUCAGCGGGGAGGAAGGGAGUAAAGUUAAUACCUUUGCUCAUGGACGUUACCCGCAGAAGAAGCACCGGCUAACUCCGU